AAUAAUUUAUUUGAUGGUCACUUACUACAUGGAUAACUGUAGUAAUUCUAGAGCUAAUACAUGCGUAAAAUCUCGACUCUAUCGGGGAGAGAUGUAUUUAUUAGAUAAAAAACCAAUGCGGGUUCUGCCCGGUUUUGUGGUGAAUCAUAGUAACUUUUCGAAGCGCAUGGCUUCACGCCGGCGCUAGUUCAUUCAAAUUUCUGCCCUAUCAGCUUUCGACGGUAGUGUAGUGGAUUACCGUGGCAUUAACGGGUAACGGAGAAUUAGGGUUCGAUUCCGGAGAGGGAGCCUGAGAAACGGCUACCACA
RNAcentral lists this ribosomal RNA (308 nucleotides) under uncultured eukaryote. RNAcentral describes it as "SSU rRNA". It matches the Rfam family "Eukaryotic small subunit ribosomal RNA", at positions 111 to 414 of the family's 1831-position model. The record is from RNAcentral.